This is a long non-coding RNA of Patella vulgata (common limpet), 2032 nucleotides long. RefSeq lists it as uncharacterized. The record is from RefSeq and is a predicted model, not a curated record. The transcript is spliced from 4 exons. Lineage: Eukaryota; Metazoa; Mollusca; Gastropoda; Patellidae.
CAAUACCACUCUUGUUGUAACUGAAUAAUAUGUCCCAAUAUUUAUUCUGGUCAACAAAUUGUACUAUUUUAGAAUAUUUCAAUUAAUUAAUGAUACAAAUUUCAUCUUAACACACCUUAUUUAAAAAUUUUGAAAAAUUCAAAAUAAUGGUUUGAAACGUCUAACGUAAACCUUUUCAAAUGAAACUUCGAUUUAAAAAUAUUUUCGAACCCUCUGGACAAGUAAAAUAGGAUGUAAUGGAUAAUUUACACAACAGGUAGGACACUUAAACAUCUAGUACUUAGAUAGAGAUAUUAUUUAUUUUCUGGAGCCUUAAAGCCAGCAAGAGUGUUAUUGUCCCUUUAAAACACUUCAUUUCUCAAUUUUGGAGUGGUUUGCAUACCUUGUCACCAAAAACCAAACAGAUGUAUAGCACUACCCUGUAUUAAACUAUCCAUCGUGUAACGUGGGUCUUGGUCUUCGUCCCAUUCGAACGACUAGACCCCCCAGGUUAAUGAGCAAGUGCGGCCCCCUUCAUAUCUUGAGCACAGAUACUUGUUUGCAUUAUCCAAUAGCAAGGAUGGGGAUGAAUAUUUAGUGGAACAAAUUGAAUAUAGUUUAUGUGAAAUCUGUAGUUAUCAGACAUAUGAUUAUGAUGAAUUCUAUCAACAAUUUCAAACGAGUACAAGAUAUAAGUAUUGUACAUAUGGCUGUUGUGGUGUCAAUUUAUUAGAUCAAUAUUGUUGUACAGUUCCAAUUGGUUUGAUAAUAGGCUGUUCAGUUGGAGCUGUAUUUAUCGUUGCAUUGGGUAUUAUAUUCUGUAUAUGUUGUUGUUGUGUGUGUGGCAGAUCACGAAGACGGAGAAAUGGACAAGUUAUUCGUGGUCCAACCGUUAUAUUCCAUACAGGUCAAUCAAAUUAUCAACAACAAUCAACAGACGCCAGUGAUGUAUUAAAUGCCCCGCCGCCAUCUUACGAGGAAGUUAUGUCUGGACAAGAUAAUUACAGUUUUAAAAACACAUAAACACUUUGGAUUCACCGUGUCAUUUAUAAUUCAAAAUCUCCCGAUUUUAGUCAUAUAGAUUUCUGUAGAAUGUACUCAUAUCACUGUGCUCUCUGUGUCAAGUUGCAGGAAUAUACACUUUAAUAAGAAAAAACUACUUUUUUGAUAAUGAUCAUCUCCAAUGUUCCUGAUACCGUGUAGUAAAGAAGGCUACUGUGGGAAGGAUCAGUUAAAUAGUAAUCUUGUGAAUGUGUUCAGAAUGACUGAUGAUUUUGUUUAUGACUAUUACAGUAGUCUUGUGAUUACAGCCUUAUCAUACUGGUAGAUCAACUGAAAGAUUGUGUAAUUGUGUACCCCCCACGCCCUUGGAUUUAAGAAUCUUUCCAUCCACCAUUUUGAACAGCUACACUAAUCACUUAUCCCCUCCCCUCUAUAUUCGCUGUACAUGCAAUGCAGGUAAAUUGAGUAGUGGAUAAUUUCUUGCUUAAUCAAUCAAAACCUUUUUACUACCCCUCAAGCGCAAGUUAUUUUUUUUACAGUUACAGUAAGUUGACUUAGUAAACAUUAUUUGAACCGGCGGGCGAAACUAAUCAAUUGAAUUUGCUUGUUUGUUUUUAAAUGCUUUCUUUGUUUAACAUUUGUGUGAAAUUUAAAAAUCAAAAGUUGGGGAGAUAGUAGUCAUGCCGGGUAAUCAGCGCCGCCCCAAAAUCAACAAAGGACUAAUCAUUUAUGAAAUUAUUUUAUUAUAACCCGUGAUAGUCGUGUACAAAUGUAAAUAUAUCAAAUGAAAAAGUUAGAUACAGGGCAAUUUUACGGAUUUCGAGUUAGUAACGCCAAAGGGCGUGCCAGAGAAUAAAGAUCUAGUCAUUUUUGUCAUAUUUAUGAUUGAGCGCAAGAACUCGUUACAUUACUUUAAUACGUUAGAUUGACAGUUUGUCUUUUUAAAUUGUAUUCAUCUAUAAAUUGUGUUCUUAAAUAAUACAAUCGUGUAUAUUUAAAAUAAUUUGUGAUUGUUUAAAGACAUGAAUAAACAAACAUCUUUAUACUGAUA